This 1558-nucleotide ribosomal RNA is filed under the name uncultured bacterium. Its description in RNAcentral is "bacterial SSU rRNA". The stretch from base 1 to 879 matches the Rfam family "Bacterial small subunit ribosomal RNA", at positions 674 to 1533 of the family's 1533-position model. The record is from RNAcentral.
UGUAGCAGUGAAAUGCGUAGAUAUGUGGAGGAAUACCGAUGGCGAAGGCAGCCCCCUGGGAUAAUACUGACGCUCAGACACGAAAGCGUGGGGAGCAAACAGGAUUAGAUACCCUGGUAGUCCACGCCCUAAACGAUGUCAACUAGCUGUUGGGGCCGUUAGGCCUUAGUAGCGCAGCUAACGCGUGAAGUUGACCGCCUGGGGAGUACGGUCGCAAGAUUAAAACUCAAAGGAAUUGACGGGGACCCGCACAAGCGGUGGAUGAUGUGGAUUAAUUCGAUGCAACGCGAAAAACCUUACCUACCCUUGACAUGUCUGGAAUCCCGAAGAGAUUUGGGAGUGCUCGCAAGAGAACCGGAACACAGGUGCUGCAUGGCUGUCGUCAGCUCGUGUCGUGAGAUGUUGGGUUAAGUCCCGCAACGAGCGCAACCCUUGUCAUUAGUUGCUACGCAAGAGCACUCUAAUGAGACUGCCGGUGACAAACCGGAGGAAGGUGGGGAUGACGUCAAGUCCUCAUGGCCCUUAUGGGUAGGGCUUCACACGUCAUACAAUGGUCGGGACAGAGGGUCGCCAACCCGCGAGGGGGAGCCAAUCUCAGAAACCCGAUCGUAGUCCGGAUCGCAGUCUGCAACUCGACUGCGUGAAGUCGGAAUCGCUAGUAAUCGCGGAUCAGAAUGUCGCGGUGAAUACGUUCCCGGGUCUUGUACACACCGCCCGUCACACCAUGGGAGUGGGUUUCACCAGAAGUAGGUAGCCUAACCGUAAGGAGGGCGCUUACCACGGUGGGAUUCAUGACUGGGGUGAAGUCGUAACAAGGUAGCCGUAAAGUUUAAAGGGUUCGUAGGCGGUUUGUAAGUCAGUGGUGAAAUCUCCUAGCUUAACUAGGAAAUCGCCGUUGAUACUGUGAGACUUGAAUCAUUAGGAAGUAACUAGAAUAUGUAGUGUAGCGGUGAAAUGCUUAGAGAUUACAUGGAAUACCAAUUGCGAAGGCAGGUUACUACUAAUUGAUUGACGCUGAUGAACGAAAGCGUGGGUAGCGAACAGGAUUAGAUACCCUGGUAGUCCACGCCGUAAACGAUGGAUACUAGCUGUUCGGACUUCGGUCUGAGUGGCUAAGCGAAAGUGAUAAGUAUCCCACCUGGGGAGUACGUUCGCAAGAAUGAAACUCAAAGGAAUUGACGGGGGCCCGCACAAGCGGUGGAGCAUGUGGUUUAAUUCGAUGAUACGCGAGGAACCUUACCAGGGCUUAAAUGCAGAUUGACAGGUUUGGAAACAGACUUUUCUUCGGACAAUUUACAAGGUGCUGCAUGGUUGUCGUCAGCUCGUGCCGUGAGGUGUCAGGUUAAGUCCUAUAACGAGCGCAACCCCUAUUGUUAGUUGCCAGCGGGUCAUGCCGGGAACUCUAACAAGACUGCCGGUGCAAACCGAGAGGAAGGUGGGGAUGACGUCAAAUCAUCACGGCCCUUACGUCCUGGGCUACACACGUGCUACAAUGGCCGGUACAGUGAGCAGCCACCAUGCGAAUGGGAGCGAAUCUACAAAACCGGUCACAGUUCGG